RNAcentral lists this long non-coding RNA (365 nucleotides) under Jatropha curcas. RNAcentral's name for it is "long non-coding RNA (JCUR_LNC000255)". Lineage: Eukaryota; Viridiplantae; Streptophyta; Magnoliopsida; Malpighiales; Euphorbiaceae. The record is from RNAcentral.
UGCGGGGUCCUCUUCUUCUUCAGCGCUCACCUUCCCUUUAUUCUUCUCUUACUUCCUCUCUUCCUAGGUAGCUGGCCCCUCUUCCAAUUCCUCUUUCUUUCUUUCUUCCUCGGCCACUUGUGGCCCCUCAACCCCCUCUUUCUCGGGUAUCUUCUCUUCUUCUUUCUCUUCUUUCCCUUCCUCAAGCUUUAGUCCCUUAGGCUCAAUCGCCAAGAUAUUGAUAACAUCAGCAAAGAUUUCUAGACUGGGGUACAUCUUUCCAUUGUGCUCAAAAGGCUCUAUUAGAAGACAUGGAGAGGAAUGCUCACUCGAACAGACGAAUCGUCUAUCCAUGUCUAACCAGCCGUAUGUUCUCUUCAGUGUGC